AUUUUUUUUUUUUUUUUUGUCUUUUUGCCUUUUCUAGGGCCGCUCCUAUGGCAUAUGGGGGUUCCCAGGCUAGGGGUCUAAUCGGAGCUGUGGCCACUGGUCUAUGCCAGGGCCAUAGGAUCAGAGCGGGAUCCGAGCUGCAUCUGCGACCUACACCACAGCUCACGGUAACGCUGGAUCCUUAACCCUCGGGGCCAGGGAUUGAACCCGCAACCUCAUGGUUCCUAGUCGGAUUCGUUAACCACUGAACCACGAGGGGAACUCCCCUAAUUUGGAUAUUUUUGUAUCUUCCAUAUGUCUCCUUAAUUUUGGAGCAUUUGGAACACUGUUUUAAUAAUUGUUUUAAUGUUCUUGUCCACUACUUUUGUGUCAGUUCUGGGUCAAUUUCAACUAAUUUAUCAUUCUUCUUAUUUUGGGCCAUGUUUUCUUUCUUCUUUGCAUGCCUGUGAUCUUUAUUUGAAUGCCAGACUGUGAAUUUUACUUUAGCUGCUGUAUAUUUUUAUAUUUCUUCUUCUUCUUCUCUUUGGCUGCACCUGCGGCAUAUAGAAGUUCUCAGGACAGGGACUGAAUCUGAGCCGCAGCUGUGACGUCUCCUGAAGCUUUGGCCAUGCCGGAUCCUUAACCCACUGCACCAUGGUGAGAACGCCUAUAUUUUUAUAUUUUUAUAAAUCUUCUUGAGUUUUACUCUUAGAUGCAAUUACUUGGAAACACUUUGAUCCUUUCGAGUCUUGCUUUUAUGAUUUGUUGAAUGCGUCCAGAGCAGUGCUGUAUUAAGUGCUAAUUUUUUUAUCAAUAUUGAAAGAAGGCCUUCCUGACUACUCUAACCAUUGCCCCACAAAUUAUGACUUUUUAUAUUUGUCACUAUAUUUAGUUCUGUGUGACUGCUAGAUACUUCUCUCUAAUCUUUACCCAUGCUUUUCCCAGCUCAGUUUUGUCACACAAAAGUGCCAACGAGUGCUCAUGCUAAUACUCUAGGGGGACUUUCUGUGGAUCUCUGCAAUUCUCUUUUUGCGCAGCGCUCUCCUCUCUGAUACUCCUUCUUGCAAACCCUGCUCUCCUUGGUCUCCCUGGACUCCCAGCUGCAUUUCCUUAACUCAGAGUGUCUGCUGGUCUUCACGCCCUCCCUGCCCUGGGAUCUGCAGUAAACCUGGGCAAUCAAGGGCUCCCAUGGUUGCUUCCCGUCACUCAGGGAUCACUGUUGUUCAUGGCCUGCUACCCAGUGUCUUAAAGACUGUCAUUUCAUAUGUCUUGCCUGGUUUUUGUUUGUUUGUUGUGUAUUUGUUCUAUUUUGUGGUUUCAAGUAGGAGAGUAAAUUCAGUUCCCGUUGCUCCAUCUUGGAUGGGAGCAGACAUCAGAAGGGAACCUUUGAACAUAGACUUGAGGAGGUGAUGGAGUGCAUCAUGGGACUAUGGGGUGGGGAGGAGAAGAGAAUUCCAGGUAGUGGGAGUAGCCAGGUACCAUGGUCCUGAGCACCUGUGCCUGAAAGAGUCCUGCGAGCUCUCAAAGGCCCUGGAUCUCCCAGGCCCAGCAAUGUUUCUGCCAUGUGUAACCAUCUCAAGGUUGUCACCUGCCACCUAGUGGGGGCCUGGGAGUGGGAGGCUGAGGUGGGAAGAGGGAGCAAGGUCCUAAUUCUGGCUGCUCCUGUUUCUUGCUGUGUGACCUCAGGCAAGCCUCUGUGCCUCUCUGUCCCGUUUCCUCACUUGUCACAUGGAGAAGUUUUGAGCACCUUAGGUGGGAAAGUAUUCUCCUGAAGAGGGGGUGGCAGUUGAUGGUCUGGGCUGGGGCAACCCAGUAUGAACUGUUCCCCUGGCCCUCUGCCUGGGGUGACUGAAAAGCAGUUGGGAGCAUAGAGGCCUUUCUCUGGGUCCUGAAGGUACAUAGAGCACAGGCUGGUUGGCGGAGGCCUGGGGCUCAUCUUGGAAUGGAGACAGAUUGACAGACAAAGAGGAGGCAGGAGGGUGGGACUCGGGUGCCUCUGGGGAGAGAAGGAAGAGGAAGGGAUGAGGAGCAGGAAGGAGGAAGGUAGGGCUGUGUGCAGCCUCAAGAACCCAGGAACUUCGAAGUCUCCCGCUAGAGGUUGGACUGGUCCUUUCCCCAGGUGGGGUGGGGUGGGAGGGGUGCUUGCUGGUUCAGCCCUCUGGAUCCUUGGAAUAAAUGAGGGAGGGACUUAGGUGGUAGGGAAUUGCUGAGACUGUGAGAAAACACUCUCCCCUUCCCACAAACUGACCCUUCACCCCUGUCCCCAACUGCACUGCCACUAUGAUGUCUGAACAAGAGCUUUCUCCUCUGAAGGCAGUUCUCAAAAUUGAAUGAGAUUGCUGGGCCUGACCCCAGGUCCGAGGUGCCUCCCGAGCAUGUGCCUGCCUUGCAAGUUCCCAGAUGAUGAUGCUGUUGCUGGUUCUGGGGACACACAUUGAGAACCACUCACUGCUCUGUUGAGUGCCCUGUCAGUUUGGGUCCUUUAGGCUCAGACGCUGAGAGGGAGCCUGGAGAGUAAGAGGUUUAUUAGGGGGUGAUGCCUCUGCAAGAUAAGGGGGAGAGAGCAGAAUUGGAGGGAGAGCUUCAGUCCACUGUGCGGGCCUGGCAUCAUCGUCAACCCAUUGAGGAGCCCUGGAGAAGAAGGCACCCAUCAGAGGAGCCCCUUAUGGCAGAAGUGGUCCAGCCCUGCUUCCUCACCUGGCGUGGACAUGGGCUGGGAUUGCCCAGGAAGAGCGUGGUCUUACCUCAAAAGCCGAGGCGGAACCUGCAGGUGGUGCAGCCAGAGGCUGUUGGCUCACUGCUUUCCUGGUAUCUGAAGGUCAAGUUCUCUCUUGAAGAGAGACCAAGCACCCCUCCAAGGCUGCCAUGGUGUCUACCAUGGGCCAGACUCUGGGCAGAGCAUUUACCUGGAUGAGUGCAGUUUCAUACCCACCCAGAAAAAUCUCAGAAAUAGUUGUUCCCAUUUCAUAUAUGGGAAAAGUGUGGCACUGAGUGAUUAGGUCAUCUGCUCAGAGAUGGAGCUGGGAUUUGAACCCCUCUUGUGCCGUAGCAGUCGCUCCUCUCCAUCUGGGAGGUGAAGAACUCUAAUCCCCUUUACAGCUGGAGAAUCUGAGGUGUGGAGAUGUAACUCGCCUGACCUUAGAGAUUAAAGUAAGUGGGGCUCUGGGAUUUGAACCCUGCUCUGAUCUGUCUCUUCUAACUGUAAGGUACUGUUCUUAGAUACUUCCAGAAGGAUGUGAAAGCAGCAUCUUGGAGCUGGAAGGUGCCUCCCUGGCAUUUGGCCAGUGGGGACACUGAGGCCCAGGGAGGUAAUCGACCAUGCCUCAGUUCCUCUCUGUGCCUGCUGUGUGUGGGGUGUUACCCACCCAUCAUUCAUACAUUCAGCAUACAGCGUGAGACGCCUGUGGCUCAGCCUUCCAACCCAGGGCACUUGGGUUGGGGAGGCAGACAUGGUACAGGCACAGGCAGCUCUGGGACUGCACUGGGGAUUAGGUGGGGUGACUGACUCACGUGGGGAUGCAUUCAGGGGGGGCUUCCUGGAGGAGGUAGCUUGAGAAGAGAAGGGCAGGGCAGAGGGAAGAGUAGAAACAAAGGCUUGGAGGUGGGAGCAUUCCCCAAUGUUGCCUUUAGGGAAUGGAUCAAAACCCAGCAAGUCUGGAAUGCUGAGGUGGUGAGGGGAAGGUGUGGCCAGAAGUGAGGCAGAGAGAAGGUGGGCCCGAGUGUGGUCAAGCUCUUGCCUUGAAACACGACCCCAGCUCCGUUCAGGGCAGGUCUGCUCUCUCCAGGAGACCUUUGAUCGCCAGGGCUUUGAAUUAUCCAGAUUUUCCUCAUCUUUUUGACUCCUCAGUGGUCUCUAGCCCCUAAGGUGGCCCCUAAGUAUCCCCCUCUCCUCAGACGGACAUCGACCUUGACUUCUAAUAAAGUCGGCCUGUGUAAACAGUAGGAGUUUGUGGAAAUGUCGGAGCGUGACCUCUAAGGCCAGGUCACGAGAUGUAUUGCAGCUUCUGCCUCGGUCUCUGGGUUUGGUCACUCUGGGGGAAACGAGCUGCCAUGCCGUGAAGUCACUCAGGCAGCCUGUGGAAAGGCCCACAGGGAAAGGAACUGAUGUCCCACUUCCAGCUGUCACCACCUCGCCCGUCAUAUGAAUGAGCCACUUUGGAAGCAGAUCUUCCCGCCCCAGUCAAGCCUUGAGAUGAGAGCAGCCCCAGAACCACGCAGCCAGGCUGGUCCCAGAUUCUUGACCCAGAGAAAUCAUGAGCCUUACUAAGUUAUGCUUAUUGUUAUGAGUCACUGAGUUUUGUAAUGAUUUGCUGUGCAGCGUCAACUCAUGAGGGCUUCUCCACACCCUUUCUUGGCUCCUCCUGUAAAUUGUUCACUCAUUCUUUCAUGAAUAUUCAUUGGAUACCUACUGUGUACCAGGCACAGGAGAUCAGGUUACAGGCCCCUGUUCUCAGAGCCCCAAGAUUCAGGCCUCCUGUUCCACUACAAUGUUCUAAAUUCACCAGCAUUAGGUCGCAGACUGAGCUGGAUGUCUCUGAGUGACUCUUAACCUUUUAGGAGAUUUAACCUGUUUUGAGAGUCUGAUGAAAACGGAUGGCUAGAAAAAGUCAGCUCUACACAUCAUUAAAUUGGGAUGCACUUUCAAAAGGAUCCCAGGCUAUCCAAAACAAAAGCUUAAGGCUUCAGAUUUCAGAGUCCCCAGCGGAGUGAGGGGUAAGAAGGGCCUCAGCUGCUGAGCUGACAUUUGCUUAAUGACACAGCCCAUCCUGACUGCAGCAGGCUUUCAGCUUGCUCCAGGCUGAGUGCACGUGGCUUGGGUUCCCUUCUCUUCUCUGUGCCCCUGACAGGCUGCCCUGCAGAGAGGCCGGCCGGCCUGGCACGGUCAAUUUAAAAAGGAGAGGCUGAGGAAUUCCCGCUGGGGCUCAGCGCUAACAAACUUGACUAGUAUCCAUGAGGAUGCGGGUUCGAUCCCUGGUCUUGUUCAGUGGGUUAAGGAUCCAGCAUUGCCGUGAGCUGCUGAUGCUAUAUGGCUGUAGUGUAGGCCUGCAGCUGCAGCUCUGAUCCAACCCUAGCCUGGGGACCUCCCUAUGCCGUGGGUGGAGCCCUAAAAAAAAAAAAAAAAAAAAAAAAAA
RNAcentral lists this long non-coding RNA (5111 nucleotides) under Sus scrofa (pig). RNAcentral's name for it is "lncRNA (ENSSSCG00005039842.1)". The record is from RNAcentral. Lineage: Eukaryota; Metazoa; Chordata; Mammalia; Artiodactyla; Suidae.